GUUGAAGAGGACGAAACACACAGGGGCGACAGGUAUAAUGGCCAUAGUUUCAGAUGUUCAGUUCAGAAGGUGUACUCUGUUAUUUCGCAGUUUGACCAGUAGAAACGAGAAAUCAUUAACUCAAUGGGUUGGGGUGGCACUCUAUCCAUGCCUCUGAUCAGCAAACUAAGCGUUAGGGAUAUGGUAUGGCUUCUAGGGACGGUGGAUGAGGUCAGACAAGCCAUUGUACUGGGACCGAAUAAGGUUUUUAAGUUCAAUGAGAGUGAUGUUGAGAAGGUAUUCGGAAUCCCAGCAGCUGGAAUAGAUGUGAUGGACAAAACUCUUGAUAGGAGUGACACUGUAUAUGCAUACUUGCGUGGUCGUUUGGGGAUAAAGAACAAGGAGGUAAGAAGUCUGAAGAGUAUAAAGUCCAUACUGUCACGUGACUACAAGGGGAAGAUGUCACAAACAGAGGUGGCUGCAUUCAAAAUUGCAUACAUCGUAUUCAUGAUGACACAUGUAUUUGCACCGACAGUCAAGAAUGACUACUUCUACACUGAUUAUUGGCCAGCACUGGUCGAUCCGGAUAGCUUGGAUAAGUUCAAUUGGGGAAGAUAUAUUGUUGAAGUACUGUGCGCAGCCGCCGUUAAGAUGAAACAAGAUAUUAACAGGAAAGCCACGGUGUCGAACAUAACAGGAUGUCUGCUCUUUCUACAGGUCAAGACGUUUCAGAUACCUCAUUACUUCAUCAGCACACAGCGCAUGUCCUUCAGACAAUUUGGGCACUCCUGCAAGUUCAGUAGCUGA
Molecule: ribosomal RNA, 786 nt
Filed under: Triticum aestivum (bread wheat)
Lineage: Eukaryota; Viridiplantae; Streptophyta; Magnoliopsida; Poales; Poaceae
Description: partial small subunit ribosomal RNA
Source: RNAcentral